This 602-nucleotide unclassified non-coding RNA is filed under the name Hevea brasiliensis (rubber tree). Lineage: Eukaryota; Viridiplantae; Streptophyta; Magnoliopsida; Malpighiales; Euphorbiaceae. The record is from RNAcentral.
AUAAGCUGAUUUUCAUAAGUUAAACCAAACAUCCUUUUAUUGUUCAAGUACUCAUUGAAAAUAGUCUACUAGAUUAUUUAUAUGAAAUAUUUUGCAGGAGCGGAGAACAGAUGCAAUUGAUAGAAGAAACAUUUCAUAAACGAUGAUUCCAUUCUUUGUUCAAAAUUCUUCUUUCGUCAAGAGUAGAGCAAAUAGGUUGAUAGUGACACGCUAAUACAAUAUUGAUUCUAUUAAUUCUUGCAUUGACUCUUCCACCACUAAUUAAUUUUUAGUAUGUGAUUGUUUAAUAGUGUGAUAGUUGAACUUGGUGAGUGGUAGAGUUUGGUCGUAUUAUCCUCAUAAACUUUGCAUUGCGAUUUCUGCGCUAAUGCAUCUGUGGGCUUCCAGUGCUGGUUGCAUUGAUUCCAUCAUGACUCAUCUUCUAUAUAGAUUAAUUUGAGGACAAAUCCAGAACUUUAAGUUUGCUGAUUUCCAUGGCCAUGGUGUGCAAAUGCAUUCACAUUAGCUAUUAUUAAUUUUAUGUGUUAUGGUUGUCGAUCCCUCAUUACUGUUUACUUUUUUUUAUCUUUCUUUUGUCUUUGACACAAACAUGUGGGAACAGG